ACUCUUGCAUGGAAGCAGUCUGAGGAGCAACGCCGCGUGAGUGAAGAAGGGUUUCGGCUCGUAAAGCUCUGUUGGUGGUGAAGAAAGACAGGGGUAGUAACUGGCCUUUAUUUGACGGUAAUUACUUAGAAAGUCACGGCUAACUACGUGCCAGCAGCCGCGGUAAUACA
This 170-nucleotide ribosomal RNA is filed under the name uncultured Lactobacillus sp. RNAcentral describes it as "partial 16S ribosomal RNA". It matches the Rfam family "Bacterial small subunit ribosomal RNA", at positions 359 to 527 of the family's 1533-position model. The record is from RNAcentral. Lineage: Bacteria; Bacillati; Bacillota; Bacilli; Lactobacillales; Lactobacillaceae.